CUUCAAACGAAUUUACCACCGAUGUCUUCUGGUAUUAUUUUGAGCUUGCACUCAAAGAGUGAGAUGAUUAUUCAAAUAUUUUUCCCCAAAGCAUUUACAAAAGACACAGAGUUUGUGGAGAUACCAAUGUUAGGAAGAUCAUUCUUGUUUCUAUAUGAUCAGAAAAUAUACAACCCCAUCGAGGAAAGUGCCUCCAUUCAAGAAAUAGUUCUAGAAUGUCACCUAAUGUGUCAAGUAUUGUGUUUGUGCUGCCAGGGACAUAUGGCCCCUGCCCUUGAAUAGCCUACAACUGAUUCUGAAGGAAAAGGUGUGAUCAUAUAUAACCAUGAAACACAUUACAAUGGGUAAUGCAGUAACAUGGGAACCAUGGAGGGUUACAAUGGAUUGUUGGAUGAGAGUGCUGAUUCUCGCUGUGAAUGAGGCUUUGUGAUGAAAGUAGCAUGGCUGCUCUAUUUGAUUGGAGGAAACGGGGGAGCAGAACAUAAGCCCAGGCAUGACGUUAGCUGGGCAAGAGAAUUUUCUGCAAUCUCAGAGCGUGCUGGGAGAUAGGCUGGAAAAGGAGUUAGGGACCAGAUUAUGAAGGACUUGGAGUGUUGAGUUGAGAAGUGAAGACUUCAAGGAAUCAUUACUUAGUUCAAGGAACAUCAGUCAUGAAAUAUUCGUCAUCACCCAGCAUCCAUGCUGCUUGAAUGAGACCAUUCCUCCCCUUGAGGGUGUUACUGUCUAAGCUGGCCACUUCUCAGGAUUGUUUAUGAAAAGUGAGACAACACAGCAGAGAACACACUACGGGGUCCUUGCUGCAUUCGAUCUUCCUCUGGACAAAGGAAAGGUUUACUUACUGCUUACUAUAGAAGUGACGGAUUCCUUAGGUUCAGGGUUCUUCUGUGGUUAUGCUCCUCUGCACAUGCAUCUCCACCUGGAUGUCAGCAUUGUCCAGUCCCGGGAUUUGAGCUUCAAGGAACCAACAGGACUAUGAUAAUAAUCCUGCUACUGCUUUUAGUAAAGUAGUAAAGUCCUUUGUCUCUGACCUUGGAGUUUUGUGUCUUCUGUCAGCAUCCACAGAGUGUGGCAGGCUAACUUAUUUCUUGGUCUUCAUUUUGAUGGGGGUCCUCCUCCACUGCCAAACUGUCAAAGUAAGGUAAUGUCUUUACAGAUGACUUGUCCUGAGAGGCCAUUUCAUCAAAACCUUCCCCUCCAGUGGGAACUUGUGAAGCUGGCAUGGGCUGCAGGUGCUGGACAUCACCCAGCUUGUUCAUGUUCAUCUAGUGGCUGGAAGUGGCUUAAGAGAACUAUAAAGCUCCUAAUAGGACUACAGAGAAAUCCCCUUACCCAGUCUGCCUCACCUAAACAAGAAAGGAGAGUUUUGCCCCCAAGCACAGUCUUUGUAAUUGGAAGAGCAAGUACGUUCAUACCCACUUCCAUCUUCCAUUUCAGGUAGUGCUGACCAGACGCCUGUCCAGAUGGCAGGAGGGGUGGUUUUCUCUGCCAGGACCAUGUGACUAGCAAGUGGCAGGGGUGGGAUUGGCCACACUCUCAGCCACGAAGUCAACAGCCUCUGUAGUCACAACGAGGUGAUGAACAGUCCAUAAAAACACAAGAAGAAGCCAAGAGAUUCAGCUUCUCUGGUUUGUUUAUAAAACAAUUUAUCUUUCAACAAAAAUAACAAAUGGGGACGAGGAUUAAUAAUUUUGAUCCGAUGAAUUUCAUUUUGUGGUUUGAAAAUAUACACUUCUAAAUUCAAAAAGUAUGGAGGAAUGUACUGGAAUGCCAAUGUAAUGAUUCUCUGAGAGUGCAAGGAAGGUGAGGAUCUUGAGCAUUUGUGGAAAUCACAGUUCUGGUUUCUAGCAGGGGAGAAGGUUGCUGGCCAUCUUAAUCAAAGAUGGAAUUUACUGGAACCCCUGCAGGAGCUCAGAGACAAAGCUGGAGGACAGAGCUUGGGAACUGGACAUACAUCAAGGUGUAGAGAUUUCGCUGGUGACUUCGGGAAGAUGUGUACCAACAGAAUUAAGUUCUCUGGAAGCAUGACCAGACCAGAAUCAACGUAUUGUAAAGUCUGAUUAUGAAUACAUUCAUCUAGGAAUUUUGCCGGUAUGCAGUUUGAAAGAGGGCUAUGCACAUACUUCAUUUCCUCUUACUUCUGUAGGGGAGUUCCUUUGGCUGACUUCCAAAGGGAAUGCAUUUAAAUCAC
RNAcentral lists this long non-coding RNA (2188 nucleotides) under Equus caballus (horse). RNAcentral's name for it is "lncRNA (ENSECAG00000044221.1)". Lineage: Eukaryota; Metazoa; Chordata; Mammalia; Perissodactyla; Equidae. The record is from RNAcentral.